UUAAGCGACUAAGCGUACACGGUGGAUGCCCUGGCAGUCAGAGGCGAUGAAGGACGUGCUAAUCUGCGAUAAGCGUCGGUAAGGUGAUAUGAACCGUUAUAACCGGCGAUGUCCGAAUGGGGAAACCCAGUGUGUUCCGACACACUAUCAUUAACUGAAUCCAUAGGUUAAUGAGGCGAACCGGGGGAACUGAAACAUCUAAGUACCCCGAGGAAAAGAAAUCAACCGAGAUUCCCCCAGUAGCGGCGAGCGAACGGGGAGGAGCCCAGAGCCUGAAUCAGUGUGUGUGUUAGUGGAAGCGUCUGGAAAGGCGCGCGAUACAGGGUGACAGCCCCGUACACAAAAAUGCACAUGCUGUGAGCUCGAUGAGUAGGGCGGGACACGUGGUAUCCUGUCUGAAUAUGGGGGGACCAUCCUCCAAGGCUAAAUACUCCUGACUGACCGAUAGUGAACCAGUACCGUGAGGGAAAGGCGAAAAGAACCCCGGCGAGGGGAGUGAAAAAGAACCUGAAACCGUGUACGUACAAGCAGUGGGAGCCCUGAUUUAUCAGGGUGACUGCGUACCUUUUGUAUAAUGGGUCAGCGACUUAUAUUCUGUAGCAAGGUUAACCGAAUAGGGGAGCCGGAGGGAAACCGAGUCUUAACUGGGCGUUAAGUUGCAGGGUAUAGACCCGAAACCCGGUGAUCUAGCCAUGGGCAGGUUGAAGGUUGGGUAACACUAACUGGAGGACCGAACCGACUAAUGUUGAAAAAUUAGCGGAUGACUUGUGGCUGGGGGUGAAAGGCCAAUCAAACCGGGAGAUAGCUGGUUCUCCCCGAAAGCUAUUUAGGUAGCGCCUCGUGAAUUCAUCUCCGGGGGUAGAGCACUGUUUCGGCAAGGGGGUCAUCCCGACUUACCAACCCGAUGCAAACUGCGAAUACCGGAGAAUGUUAUCACGGGAGACACACGGCGGGUGCUAACGUCCGUCGUGAAGAGGGAAACAACCCAGACCGCCAGCUAAGGUCCCAAAGUCAUGGUUAAGUGGGAAACGAUGUGGGAAGGCCCAGACAGCCAGGAUGUUGGCUUAGAAGCAGCCAUCAUUUAAAGAAAGCGUAAUAGCUCACUGGUCGAGUCGGCCUGCGCGGAAGAUGUAACGGGGCUAAACCAUGCACCGAAGCUGCGGCAGCGACGCUGAUGCGUUGUUGGGUAGGGGAGCGUUCUGUAAGCCUGUGAAGGUGUGCUGUGAGGCAUGCUGGAGGUAUCAGAAGUGCGAAUGCUGACAUAAGUAACGAUAAAGCGGGUGAAAAGCCCGCUCGCCGGAAGACCAAGGGUUCCUGUCCAACGUUAAUCGGGGCAGGGUGAGUCGACCCCUAAGGCGAGGCCGAAAGGCGUAGUCGAUGGGAAACAGGUUAAUAUUCCUGUACUUGGUGUUACUGCGAAGGGGGGACGGAGAAGGCUAUGUUGGCCGGGCGACGGUUGUCCCGGUUUAAGCGUGUAGGCUGAUUUUCCAGGCAAAUCCGGAGAAUCAAGGCUGAGGCGUGAUGACGAGGCACUACGGUGCUGAAGCAACAAAUGCCCUGCUUCCAGGAAAAGCCUCUAAGCAUCAGGUAACAUCAAAUCGUACCCCAAACCGACACAGGUGGUCAGGUAGAGAAUACCAAGGCGCUUGAGAGAACUCGGGUGAAGGAACUAGGCAAAAUGGUGCCGUAACUUCGGGAGAAGGCACGCUGAUAUGUAGGUGAAGCGACUUGCUCGUGGAGCUGAAAUCAGUCGAAGAUACCAGCUGGCUGCAACUGUUUAUUAAAAACACAGCACUGUGCAAACACGAAAGUGGACGUAUACGGUGUGACGCCUGCCCGGUGCCGGAAGGUUAAUUGAUGGGGUCAGCGCAAGCGAAGCUCUUGAUCGAAGCCCCGGUAAACGGCGGCCGUAACUAUAACGGUCCUAAGGUAGCGAAAUUCCUUGUCGGGUAAGUUCCGACCUGCACGAAUGGCGUAAUGAUGGCCAGGCUGUCUCCACCCGAGACUCAGUGAAAUUGAACUCGCUGUGAAGAUGCAGUGUACCCGCGGCAAGACGGAAAGACCCCGUGAACCUUUACUAUAGCUUGACACUGAACACUGGUCCUUGAUGUGUAGGAUAGGUGGGAGGCUUUGAAGUGUGGACGCCAGUCUGCAUGGAGCCGUCCUUGAAAUACCACCCUUUAAUGGCUGGUGUUCUAACGUUGGCCCGUAAUCCGGGUUGCGGACAGUGUCUGGUGGGUAGUUUGACUGGGGCGGUCUCCUCCUAAAGAGUAACGGAGGAGCACGAAGGUUGGCUAAUCCUGGUCGGACAUCAGGAGGUUAGUGCAAUGGCAUAAGCCAGCUUGACUGCGAGCGUGACGGCGCGAGCAGGUGCGAAAGCAGGUCAUAGUGAUCCGGUGGUUCUGAAUGGAAGGGCCAUCGCUCAACGGAUAAAAGGUACUCCGGGGAUAACAGGCUGAUACCGCCCAAGAGUUCAUAUCGACGGCGGUGUUUGGCACCUCGAUGUCGGCUCAUCACAUCCUGGGGCUGAAGUAGGUCCCAAGGGUAUGGCUGUUCGCCAUUUAAAGUGGUACGCGAGCUGGGUUUAGAACGUCGUGAGACAGUUCGGUCCCUAUCUGCCGUGGGCGCUGGAGAACUGAGGGGGGCUGCUCCUAGUACGAGAGGACCGGAGUGGACGCAUCACUGGUGUUCGGGUUGUCAUGCCAAUGGCACUGCCCGGUAGCUAAAUGCGGAAGAGAUAAGUGCUGAAAGCAUCUAAGCACGAAACUUGCCCCGAGAUGAGUUCUCCCUGACCCUUUAAGGGUCCUGAAGGAACGUUGAAGACGACGACGUUGAUAGGCCGGGUGUGUAAGCGCAGCGAUGCGUUGAGCUAACCGGUACUAAUGAACCGUGAGGCUUAACCUU
Molecule: ribosomal RNA, 2904 nt
Filed under: Escherichia albertii
Lineage: Bacteria; Pseudomonadati; Pseudomonadota; Gammaproteobacteria; Enterobacterales; Enterobacteriaceae
Description: bacterial LSU rRNA
Rfam family: Bacterial large subunit ribosomal RNA
Source: RNAcentral